Oryza brachyantha (malo sina) is the source of this 3498-nucleotide long non-coding RNA. RefSeq lists it as uncharacterized. The record is from RefSeq and is a predicted model, not a curated record. Lineage: Eukaryota; Viridiplantae; Streptophyta; Magnoliopsida; Poales; Poaceae. The transcript has 3 exons.
GCAAACGCCCGCCUGCCGGCGCCGCCGGCCCGCCGCCCCUCCAUCGCCUACAAUCUUCUCCAGCCGCCUCCUCCCACCGUCCCUAGCAACCGCCGCCGCCUCCGUCUCCGCCUCUGCCGCCGGCCCGCCGUCUCCCUCGCCGCCUUCCUCACCACCUCCGUCCCCGCCUACGUCACGGCCUCCGUCGCCGCCUCCAACGCUCGCCCGCUGCUUCCGUCGCAAGAUGAGGCAGAACCCACAAAGCCGAACCCGAGCCCUCCCAUUCGAUUUCAGAAGCCAAACCCAACAUCAACACCGUCGCGCCGCCGCCGCCGCCGCCACCGAGAAAGAGGAGGGAGCGAUUCGCAUCCACCGUCGUCGUCUCCAGGUUUCACGGGAGCAACACGCCAGCGCCGGCUUCCUCUCCCUGCUUCUGCCUCUUGGGGAUUCACCGCCUCCUGCGCCGAGGUCGCACCCUAGGGUUCCACCACCGCCGCGUCGCCGCCAGCGGAGGAGCACUAGGAUAGAGCGAGAUGGCCGGUAGGCUUCUCGCGAAUCUCAUCGUCAUGGGCGAGACCGUGCUGGGCAGCGCCGCGGUUCAGGCGUAUCGUCAAGCCAUCUUCAAUUGCAAACCAAAAGAAGAGGAUUACUUUUAUGCUAACCCCCACGAAUGCCUAGCCAAUUCAAGAGCAGAGCCAGAGGAGACAUGGUCAGCUUCACGGUGUCAGAGCUACAGCCUCUAAGAGCAGAGCCAGAGGACAUCCCACUGGACAUUGUUUGAGGAUCAACAUCUUCUUGUGAACAAGCCGGCUCAUAUGGUAUGUGCCAUUUUUCUUGUAUUUUUUUUUAUUUUCACCGGAUUGCAGUGAUACUCAAGUGUAAGCUUUGGUUACACGGUUCUUAUUUCUUGUUUGCUUUGCUCUAAGCAUCAACCAGCAGCCGUGCCUUUACAGUACUGGAGCUCUCGAGUCUGCUUUCUUCUGUGACAAAUAGUCUUAACAUUCUAACGAUUGCACUUUAUUGUUUCAGCAAGUUUCAGCAACAGUCCCUUCAUGGGUGGUUGGCUGGGUGCUAACAUUGUUCGUUUAGUCCUUCCCUUCCACUGCUCCUAGAUUAGUUUAUUCUAUGUAUUUAUGUUAUAAUUUGCACAGAUGUCAUGGUUUGUAAAUUGUAGCUGUUCAUCAAACCUGAUAAACUUUUCUUGAAGGUGUUAUUGAACACUGCAUACCUGUGUUCACCUAUUGUGCACUGCAUCAUUUGUCAUCCCUUAAUAUGAUUUAAACUAGGAUGUUGCAUACUUGUGUGCUUGUGACUGUGACCUGAUUUAAACAACUACAAACAGGUAAUUUACAACCACCUCUCCAGUACUUUUAGGCAAAAAAGAGUUAAUAAUUGCAUUUUGAGUAUGUAUAUGGUGACCAAAAGUAAUACCAGUUGAUAGAUUAAAUUUCCUGUUCUCUUGUAAAACAAAUAAAUUUUGUAAUUCUAUCCUAAAACAACUUAUGUUUAUUUAUUUUAACAUGGUAAUGGACGAUUUUCUGCUCCCCGCUGCCGUAGCCUCGCCAUCCCCGCCGCCGUCACCGCACCAUCCCCACCGACGCUGGUUUGGCUUAUACUUUUUAUUGGUGAAUGUACAGAUACAUUCCUUUUAUCUAAAGGUUACAUUGGGCAGCAUUUUUAAACAAAAAAAUAUUGGUGUUGAUGUGUUGCUGGUUUGGUAGGAUGUCAAAUGAUAGCAUCCUUUGGUUGAGAUGAUGAACAUGAUUUUACUGCCUGCAUCUUAUAGUAUCAAGUUUAGUAUUUUUUAUCUCAGAGUACAUGUUAAUUGUUCACACACAAACAAAUUUUUGAUUGGUUCCAUGGAAAAUCUUGGGUAAAGAGCCAGUUAUUGUUCUUAUUGGUCAUCUAUUUGUUCUUGCUCAUCUUGCACCUGAUGGAUAGACUCUGAAGGGAUUCGUUCUUGUUCUUGCUCAUUCUGCACCUGAUGGACAGACUCUGAAGGUAUGUUCAAUAAAAGAAACUAGCCCCCAUUGUCCUGUGUUCAGUCUUAUGCCCUGCUUUUUCAGGGCUAUAUGCUGAUUAAAUGUGAUCUGUACUUUUCACCCUGGGUUAUGCCACUACCGAGUCAAUUUAUAUGGAGUAUAGACUCAUUCUAGAGUUCAAUCUUGUUAUGAAUGCUUUAUAUAAUUGUUCCUGCCCGUAUCGUCUCCUUAUUUACCUAGGAGACAAGGUCAAAGCCGUUGUUCCUCCCUCCUUCCACCGUCGGCACUUACAAUGGCUCUGCCAAGGUGGGGGCGAAGAAGUAGGGACCCGCGCAGGUUGGUCCACGAUCUCCACCUUUCUGUUGCAGUUUUCCUGGUAGCUUGAGUGCUCCAUGUCGUGUUGUACUUUAUGUACUCGCUUAGUUUUGCUCGGGGUAUCGCGUGUGGCUGCGCUUGCAUACUGGCGGAUUGGUACAUUGUCAAGGGGAUCACGGUAUAGCUUGAGAUGAUCGUUAAAGUUAGGUUUGGUGAUUACUACUCUGCAUGGCCUCGGUGCGUCCUACAUAUUUGGGACUAGCCUAAUUAUGGUUAGAAAUUAUUGCCGGCAUUUUUGCUACUAUGGGAGUGUAAGCAUAAGAGGUCAUUCGUCAUAUAUUUACUGUCAGUUUGUAUUCUCAGCUGAGCAAGCUGGGGUUACAGUAAAAGUCCUUGAAUAAACUUUACAUUUUAUUGUAGUCACACUACAUGAAGUCGUUGUUAUCCACUGUGUCCAUGAUUCUGGGCCCUGUUUGAGAUAUAUUAUUGCGCGAUUAUUGUCGUGCAUUAUUGAUUUGAUUAUAGGGAUAAAUUAAAUAUUUUGAGAAAUAACCUUAACAUUAAUGAAGUACAAUAUUUGUUUUUGUUGACAAAAUGUACUUUUCAAAGCAUGGAGCAAAUAGUCCGAUGAAUAAGCUGAAAAGAACAUUGCCAGUCUUGUGCAUAUGUAGUCGAAUAUACCCCAUGAUGCUAGGUAAUUUUUUUGCUUUACUAAAAUAGAUUCCAAUUAAGUUUCAAUUUAUAACUCCUAUAAUUUACUACAAGUCACCAUGUUUUGUAAAACUAAUAUACAGUUGAAAAGGCAUGUUUCAAUCAUUAUCUCCAUAUAUUUAUUCAAAUAAGCAAUUAUACCAUUAUAAUAUCGUUCUAUUAGGUGCUAGGUUUAACAUGACCAAAUUUGCACAUGUAUUUUUCAGAGUGCACUUCUUAACAUAUAGAACCUUGGAUCUGUCUGGACUAGGAUCUUUAUAUUUCCUGUUCUAUUUGUAUAAAUCCAUAAAGUCACUUUUUACCUAUGUUAUUUAAUUUUUUAUUUCCUGUUAUAUUCGAUCCUACGGAAUUGGUCCAAGAGUGAGGGUCAUGCUGUAAUCUUUGUAUUUCCUGUUCUAUUUGUAUAGACCAAUAAAGUCACUUUUUACCUAUGUUAUUUAUUUUUUAUAUUUCCUGUUUUAAUGGGCUAGAAGCACUACAAUGGAUUAUUUUAAAGUAUGCAUCUUGAUUU